UGGAUUUCGGAUGGGUUUGACCGGUCCGCCGUUUCGGUGUGCACUGGUCGUACCUAUCUUGCUGUCGGGGACGCGCUUCUGGCCUUAAUUGGCUGGGACGCGGAGUCGGCGAUGUUACUUUGAAAAAAUUAGAGUGUUCAAAGCAGGCCUAAGCUCUGAAUACAUUAGCAUGGAAUAACGCUAUAGGACUCUGGUCUUAUUGCGUUGGUCUUCGAGACCGGAGUAAUGAUUAAGAGGGACAGUUGGGGGCAUUCGUAUUUCAUUGUCAGAGGUGAAAUUCUUGGAUUUAUGAAAGACGAACUUCUGCGAAAGCAUUUGCCAAGGAUGUUUUCAUUAAUCAAGAACGAAAGUUGGGGGCUCGAAGACGAUCAGAUACCGUCCUAGUCUCAACCAUAAACGAUGCCGACUAGGGAUUGGCGGAUGUUAAUUCGAUGACUUCGCCAGCACCUUAUGAGAAAUCAAAGUUUUUGGGUUCCGGGGGGAGUAUGG
Molecule: ribosomal RNA, 489 nt
Filed under: Pyramimonas sp. RCC5241
Lineage: Eukaryota; Viridiplantae; Chlorophyta; Pyramimonadophyceae; Pyramimonadales; Pyramimonadaceae
Description: SSU rRNA
Rfam family: Eukaryotic small subunit ribosomal RNA
Source: RNAcentral